UCUUCCGCAAUGGACGAAAGUCUGACGGAGCAACGCCGCGUGAGUGACGAAGGUUUUCGGAGCGUAAACCUCUGUUGUUACGGAAGAACACGUACCGUUCGAAUAGGGCGGUACCUUGACGGUACCUACCCAGAUAGCCACGGCUAACUACGUGCCAGCAGCCGCGGUAAUACGUAGGUGGCAAGCGUUGUCCGGAAUUAUUGGGCGUAAAGCGCGCGCAGGCGGUUUCUUAAGUCUGAUGUGAAAGCCCCCGGCUCAACCGGGGAGGGUCAUUGGAAACUGGGGAACUUGAGUGCAGAAGAGGAGAGUGGAAUUCCACGUGUAGCGGUGAAAUGCGUAGAGAUGUGGAGGAAAACCAGUGGCGAAGGCGACUCUCUGGUCUGUAACUGACGCUGAGGCGCGAAAGCGUGGGGAGCGAACAG
This 422-nucleotide ribosomal RNA is filed under the name uncultured bacterium. Its description in RNAcentral is "bacterial SSU rRNA". It matches the Rfam family "Bacterial small subunit ribosomal RNA", at positions 362 to 775 of the family's 1533-position model. The record is from RNAcentral.